AGUGAACGCUGGCGGUAGGCCUAACACAUGCAAGUCGAACGGCAGCACAGUAAGAUCUUGCUCUUACGGGUGGCGAGUGGCGGACGGGUGAGGAAUACAUCGGAAUCUACUUUUUCGUGGGUGAUAACGUAGGGAAACUUACGCUAAUACCUCAUACGUCCUACGGGUGAAAGCAGGGGAUCUUCGCACCUUGCGCGAUUGAAUGAGCUGAUGUCGGAUUAGCUAGUUGGCGGGGUAAAGGCCCACCAAGGCGACGAUCCGUAGCUGGUCUGAGAGGAUGAUCAGCCACACUGGAACUGAGACACGGUCCAGACUCCUACGGGAGGCAGCAGUGGGGAAUAUUGGACAAUGGGCGCAAGCCUGAUCCAGCCAUACCGCGUGGGUGAAGAAGGCCUUCGGGUUGUAAAGCCCUUUUGUUGGGAAAGAAAAGCAGCAGGUUAAUACCCCGCUGUUCUGACGGUACCCAAAGAAUAAGCACCGGCUAACUUCGUG
This 492-nucleotide ribosomal RNA is filed under the name uncultured bacterium. RNAcentral's name for it is "partial 16S ribosomal RNA". It matches the Rfam family "Bacterial small subunit ribosomal RNA", at positions 29 to 507 of the family's 1533-position model. The record is from RNAcentral.